RNAcentral lists this ribosomal RNA (468 nucleotides) under uncultured bacterium. RNAcentral's name for it is "partial 16S ribosomal RNA". It matches the Rfam family "Bacterial small subunit ribosomal RNA", at positions 28 to 507 of the family's 1533-position model. The record is from RNAcentral.
GACGAACGCUGGCGGCGUGCUUAACACAUGCAAGUCGAACGGAAAGGCCCUGCUUUUGUGGGGUGCUCGAGUGGCGAACGGGUGAGUAACACGUGAGUAACCUGCCCUUGACUUUGGGAUAACUUCAGGAAACUGGGGCUAAUACCGGAUAGGAGCCCCUGCUGCAUGGUGGGGGUUGGAAAGUUUCGGCGGUUGGGGAUGGACUCGCGGCUUAUCAGCUUGUUGGUGGGGUAGUGGCUUACCAAGGCUUUGACGGGUAGCCGGCCUGAGAGGGUGACCGGCCACAUUGGGACUGAGAUACGGACCAGACUCCUACGGGAGGCAGCAGUGGGGAAUAUGACACAAUGGGCGGAAGCCUGAUGCAGCAGCGCCGCGUGCGGGAUGACGGCCUUCGGGUUGUAAACCGCUUUCGCCUGUGACGAAGCGUGAGUGACGGUAAUGGGUAAAGAAGCACCGGCUAACUACGUG